Molecule: long non-coding RNA, 287 nt
Organism: Sinocyclocheilus rhinocerous
Lineage: Eukaryota; Metazoa; Chordata; Actinopteri; Cypriniformes; Cyprinidae
Exons: 3
Source: RefSeq, a predicted model, not a curated record
CAUUUUUAGAUCAACUACGUCUUGGAUGCAAGUAAACCAGCCAAUGAGCUGAUAGUUAAGGAGGGAUCAGUUUGCCUUACCCGGGACAAUUUGUUGUCUCUUGGUCUGCAAAGGAACAUGGACUCAUUUGUAGGAGAUGCAUGCUUGGAUGUUGUGCGUAGUAUGGCACAAAAUGAGGAAAAAGACAUAUUUAUUUCUACAUUGCAUAUCCCACCAACUUGGCUCCCACCUAUACACUGUGAUCCUCUAAUAUCUCUCCCAGUAAGUUGGGCUAAGUACAACUCACA